Molecule: long non-coding RNA, 1496 nt
Organism: Brienomyrus brachyistius
Lineage: Eukaryota; Metazoa; Chordata; Actinopteri; Osteoglossiformes; Mormyridae
Exons: 3
Source: RefSeq, a predicted model, not a curated record
UUACCAUGCAUUAAAAUCAACGCCUUAAAGUGGUAGCCGCGCUGGUCUGAUCAGAUGUUGUUCAGCGGGCUCUUCUAUUUAACGCCCAGAUUAUCUUUAUUUUAAUACCAGGAGUCACAUCUCCCUGGGUGAUCGACCAUUUCAAACACUGUUGGUCGCCUGCUUCCCGGCACCAAAGACCCCGGUCAAUCCAGAUGUCAAUGCGGUGUCAGAAACACCGCGCGCCAGAUGAUCGCCGAACACGGACUCAAGCUGGACAUUGGAGCCGAGCGGUUCCCUCCGCACGGCCAAGUAGGGUCGCAGGAGUUCCAGAGCCUGUCCCAGAAGCUACCGGUGCAAGAUAGGGAACAGCCCAGGGCGGGGUGCCAACCCAUCGCAGGGCACACUCACACACAAUUCACUCAUAGACGGGCAGUUUGCUAACUCCAAUUAACCUCUGCAUAUUAUUGGACUGUGAGGGGAAAUUGAAGUACCUGGAGGAAACCCCACGAUGACACGGGGAGAACGUGCAAACUCCACACACAUGGAGCUUUGGUGGAGACUCGAACCUGGGUCCCAGAGGUGUGAGCAUAUUGAAGUCCUUCAUGGUUCCCAAAGCCAUGGAGACAGGCAUCACCAGUGGUGAUUAUCCCUCAAAUGCCAAGACUUUGAACCCCACACAGCCUUGAGCCCAGAAGAGGGCUCUUGUUUCAGGUCUGGGUUGCACCGGACAGGAUUUGGCCAGUGGUGUUGAGAGCUCUCCUGCCAAUUAAGAUUAGCUUCAUCACCUGAGGUGAUCCACUAGGACCCCAUUGUCCUGCUGAUCACACGUGAAGGUCCCCGGAGAAGCUGGAGGCCACGAGGACCUUAAGCUGCAGGGAGUGAUGUACCAGGAGCCGUCUCUGAAGAUGUCCACUCUACAGGUUCCCAUUUUGCCUUUUUAUCCCUGAAAAUAUUGUCAUUGUAGGGGAGGUCAUCCACCAUGGAUGAUUAACAACAACCACCUUAUAAACUUGGAUGUGUUUUCAGUGUGUUUAGUAUGAAUAUUCAAUAUUGAUUCAUAUUUGAAAAAUCAAGGAAAAUUUCGGUCUUGUUAUUAGAACAUUGGAAAUUCGGAGUGGGGGGGGGGGGGGCAGAAUCAUGUGUCAGGCCCAUUCAUUCAUUCAUUCAUUCACUCAGUAAUUCAUUCAUUCAGUCUCCUGGAUCUUAUUACUGAUGAAUAUAAGAUUGGGUUCUUUGUUCCCCCCAUUGGAACCCUGUUCAGGACCUAACCCCUAUUUUUCCUGCAUUGUUCCUUCACACAGAAGAUGAAAUGUCUGUGUUGUUUAAUUUCCUCUGAGGUUUUUUUUAACCACUUCACUCGUGUUCCCAAAAAAAUCACCCUUCCUCAUUUCCCUGUGCCACAUGAUUCUGGUCACCGUCCUGCCUGGAUCAAGCUCUUGGGAAUUUUACUUAGACAAAAAUGGUCUGAGGGCAGAAGAAAAAAUGAUUUGUUCAGAGAUAGCCAAUCAGAUUGU